This is a long non-coding RNA of Rhododendron vialii, 1160 nucleotides long. RefSeq lists it as uncharacterized. NCBI's taxonomy places the organism in Eukaryota, Viridiplantae, Streptophyta, Magnoliopsida, Ericales, Ericaceae. The transcript is spliced from 2 exons. The record is from RefSeq and is a predicted model, not a curated record.
UUCCAAGUUCCAACCCACUGAACCCAGUAUAGCUGUGUAGGUGACUGACUAUUAAGCACUGCGGUGUUAUAUCUCGAAAGGUAAAGUAGAGGAUUCAAGUAUGAUUAUCCAAAAAAAAAAAAAAAAGCAUGCUACGAGGGGCCAACCAAAACAUGGGACUGCCAACUAACGUUGGAAGGAUCGUACCAAAACCACCCCACCAGCUAGAGGCCAUAUUCACUUGCGAAAGCAGCGAAAGUGGAGCAAAAAAUAAAUAUACUUUAGAAUGAAGCAAGGAACAAACUAACAGCCUACUCAUGGCGGUUCUGAUGUUGUGGGAGAUGGAGUAGAUGAAGAUCGCUAUGACUAUCUGCAGUAUGCACGCUUGUUUUGUUUUUGAGAAAUUGUAGCCAAGACAUGUUGAAUCUCUCUCUCUCAAGAUAGUAGCCAAGCCAUGGUGAAUCUCUCUCUCUCUCUCUCUCUCUCUCUCUCUCUCUCUCUCUCUCUGUGUGGUGGGUUUGGGGCAGCAAUAUUGGUUUUCUCCACCUCCAUGUGAGGAGGUUCUUCUCUCUUUCUGCUCUAUUUCCUUCUUUUUUUUCCCUUUCUUUUCCCCAAAUCUGAGUCAUAAAUCUUACUCCCCAGAUCCGCUAUCCUCCUCUGCCGACUAUCCACCGUCCUUCCAAGUUGCCGCUCAACCUCCACCUCACCCCAACGUGUCUCCCCCCUGCCUCACCCCUUUGCCUUACCGCUCUCUCCACCGCCUCACCAGAGCGUUGGUGAAUGGGUGGGUCAGAUUUCCGGGUCUUGGAGCUGGUGGUCUGUUUUCUAUGAUGGUGCCGAAGAUUCCAGUAGUUUUGUUGCAGAUUGAUGCCCCGGGAUGUCCUUUGACCACCGUGAAUGCAAGGUAUUCAUCAGUUGUAGCCGGUGUCUUGCUUCUCGUAUUCAGAGCCCCGCAUGACAGCGUGGGCUCGCCCCGGAGUGGCAUCCGGUUUCCGGCGUGUCACUUGGAGGGGAUAAUACGGAGUGAGGUCCGGAUUUCCAUCAGAAUAGUUUAUCCUUGAUUUGAAGAUUCGUCAUUUACGGAAAAUCUGAGCGUAUGUAAUUACGACUCCACUAUGCCGAUUUGUGAUAGUGAACACUAGGUUUUUCCUUUUGCUGGUAUUGAUAUAUCUUUUGUGGGU